RNAcentral lists this transfer RNA (73 nucleotides) under Clostridiales bacterium. RNAcentral describes it as "tRNA-Pro". It matches the Rfam family "tRNA". Rfam says of the family: Transfer RNA (tRNA) molecules are approximately 80 nucleotides in length. Their secondary structure includes four short double-helical elements and three loops (D, anti-codon, and T loops). Lineage: Bacteria; Bacillati; Bacillota; Clostridia; Eubacteriales. The record is from RNAcentral.
CGGGGUGUAGCGCAGAUGGUAGCGCGCAUGGUUCGGGACCAUGAGGCCGCGGGUUCAAGUCCCGCCACUCCGA